This is a long non-coding RNA of Saccostrea echinata, 574 nucleotides long. RefSeq lists it as uncharacterized. The record is from RefSeq and is a predicted model, not a curated record. The transcript is spliced from 3 exons. NCBI's taxonomy places the organism in Eukaryota, Metazoa, Mollusca, Bivalvia, Ostreida, Ostreidae.
GUAUGGUCAAUGUCGGAAGUUAAGCUUGCAAGGUCAUCCACCAAAAUCCAAAAGUGAGCCCCCAGACAGGGAUGACCGUCCGAAUGUGUCCGCUUACUCAACUUGGAAAGGGGAAGUAAUGUAGUUUUGAAAGAGGUGUACUCAAUGUAUAACCAGCUGAUAACCAAGUGACUGAAACAGAAGAGUUUGUAUCUCAUAGUCAUUGCCUCAGUUGACCUGAACUAGAAGAUGUCAAAACAUUUCAGUGAAAUCUCAGGAAAUGAAAUCAUCACAGCUAUCACAAAACAAAGACUGGAGUUCAGAGAAAGAGUUCAACACUUAGGAUAAAAUUAAUGAGGCAGUGACUUUCAUCUUCCAUGAAUCUAUAAGCACUUAAGACUACAGUUUUAUCAUGUUUAUGUUUCAGUAUAAGAAACUACUAAACAAAGGACAGUCGUUGACUACAAAAGAAAACCUGGGUUGACUUGUGAUAUUCUGUGUAACAUGAUUGCCAAAUACCAAGGUUUAAAACUAAAAGAUUUAUUUUUCAUGAAUUCACCUAUGUUUAGAUUUUUUGAAUAUGAAAUCAUUUGGG